UGUCGCGGCAGUUGUGCGCGGGAUACCUUCGGGUAUGCCGGAUCACUGGUUCCGGUCGGUCAACCCGCGUACAGCUGCCACCCUA
Molecule: non-coding RNA, 85 nt
Filed under: Pseudomonas brenneri
Lineage: Bacteria; Pseudomonadati; Pseudomonadota; Gammaproteobacteria; Pseudomonadales; Pseudomonadaceae
Source: RNAcentral